GUGGGGAAUCUUGCGCAAUGGGCGAAAGCCUGACGCAGCCAUGCCGCGUGAAUGAUGAAGGUCUUAGGAUUGUAAAAUUCUUUCACCGGGGACGAUAAUGACGGUACCCGGAGAAGAAGCCCCGGCUAACUUCGUGCCAGCAGCCGCGGUAAUACGAAGGGGGCUAGCGUUGCUCGGAAUUACUGGGCGUAAAGGGAGCGUAGGCGGAUAGUUUAGUCAGAGGUGAAAGCCCAGGGCUCAACCUUGGAAUUGCCUUUGAUACUGGCUAUCUUGAGUAUGGAAGAGGUAUGUGGAACUCCGAGUGUAGAGGUGAAAUUCGUAGAUAUUCGGAAGAACACCAGUGGCGAAGGCGACAUACUGGUCCAUUACUGACGCUGAGGCUCGAAAGCGUGGGGAGCAAACAGGAUUAGAAACCCGAGUAGUCC
This 425-nucleotide ribosomal RNA is filed under the name uncultured bacterium. RNAcentral describes it as "partial 16S ribosomal RNA". It matches the Rfam family "Bacterial small subunit ribosomal RNA", at positions 354 to 796 of the family's 1533-position model. The record is from RNAcentral.